CCCAUCCUAAUAAAUCUAUUUCUUGCCUAUCACUUUGUCUCUCUCACUGGAUUCCUUCUGCACCAAGGCACAAAGAACCUGAACCUCCGUGAGUCCAGACACAGGCUAUCUCCGGUUUAUCCGAAUUAUGGACUUAGCUUGACCCUGGAG
Phacochoerus africanus (Common warthog) is the source of this 150-nucleotide long non-coding RNA. RefSeq lists it as uncharacterized. The record is from RefSeq and is a predicted model, not a curated record. Lineage: Eukaryota; Metazoa; Chordata; Mammalia; Artiodactyla; Suidae. The transcript is spliced from 2 exons.